Molecule: ribosomal RNA, 49 nt
Filed under: Goodenia malvina
Lineage: Eukaryota; Viridiplantae; Streptophyta; Magnoliopsida; Asterales; Goodeniaceae
Description: partial 18S small subunit ribosomal RNA
Rfam family: Eukaryotic small subunit ribosomal RNA
Source: RNAcentral
AGAAGUCGUAACAAGGUUUCCGUAGGUGAACCUGGCGGAAGGAUCAUUG